Molecule: ribosomal RNA, 451 nt
Filed under: uncultured bacterium
Lineage: Bacteria
Description: bacterial SSU rRNA
Rfam family: Bacterial small subunit ribosomal RNA
Source: RNAcentral
UACGGAAGGCAGCAGUGGGGAAUAUUGCACAAUGGGCGCAAGCCUGAUGCAGCCAUGCCGCGUGUAUGAAGAAGGCCUUCGGGUUGUAAAGUACUUUCAGUCGUGAGGAAGGUGUUAAGGUUAAUAACCUUAGCAAUUGACGUUAGCGACAGAAGAAGCACCGGCUAACUCCGUGCCAGCAGCCGCGGUAAUACGGAGGGUGCGAGCGUUAAUCGGAAUUACUGGGCGUAAAGGGCACGCAGGCGGUUAAUUAAGUUGGAUGUGAAAUCCCCGGGCUUAACCUGGGAAUGGCAUUCAAGACUGGUUAGCUAGAGUCUUGUAGAGGGGGUAGAAUUCCAUGUGUAGCGGUGAAAUGCGUAGAGAUGUGGAGGAAUACCGGUGGCGAAGGCGGCCCCUGGACAAAGACUGACGCUCAUGUGCGAAAGCGUGGGGAGCAAACAGGGAUUAUACC